RNAcentral lists this signal recognition particle RNA (290 nucleotides) under Suricata suricatta (meerkat). RNAcentral's name for it is "Metazoan signal recognition particle RNA (ENSSSUG00005016674.1)". It matches the Rfam family "Metazoan signal recognition particle RNA". From Rfam's summary of the family: The signal recognition particle (SRP) is a universally conserved ribonucleoprotein. It is involved in the co-translational targeting of proteins to membranes. The record is from Rfam by way of RNAcentral. Lineage: Eukaryota; Metazoa; Chordata; Mammalia; Carnivora; Herpestidae.
GCCGGGCGCAGUGACGCGCCCCUGUAGCCCCAGCUACUCGGGAGGCUGAGGCAGGAGGAUGGCUUGAGCCCAGGAGUUCUGGGCUGUAGUGCACUAUGGCAAUCGGGUGUCCGCGCUAAGUUCGGCAUCAAUAUGGUGACCUCCCGGGAGCAGGGGACCACCAGGUUGCCUAAGGAGGGGUGAACCGGCCCAGGUUGGAACGGAGAAGGUCAAAAGUACUCUACUACUAAGACGAGUGUUAUCUUGCUAAAAUGAUAAUUAAAGGUUGUUUUACAAUCUUUACUGCACUU